This 620-nucleotide ribosomal RNA is filed under the name Salmonella enterica. Its description in RNAcentral is "bacterial SSU rRNA". It matches the Rfam family "Bacterial small subunit ribosomal RNA", at positions 895 to 1515 of the family's 1533-position model. Lineage: Bacteria; Pseudomonadati; Pseudomonadota; Gammaproteobacteria; Enterobacterales; Enterobacteriaceae. The record is from RNAcentral.
UAAAACUCAAAUGAAUUGACGGGGGCCCGCACAAGCGGUGGAGCAUGUGGUUUAAUUCGAUGCAACGCGAAGAACCUUACCUGGUCUUGACAUCCACAGAACUUUCCAGAGAUGGAUUGGUGCCUUCGGGAACUGUGAGACAGGUGCUGCAUGGCUGUCGUCAGCUCGUGUUGUGAAAUGUUGGGUUAAGUCCCGCAACGAGCGCAACCCUUAUCCUUUGUUGCCAGCGGUCCGGCCGGGAACUCAAAGGAGACUGCCAGUGAUAAACUGGAGGAAGGUGGGGAUGACGUCAAGUCAUCAUGGCCCUUACGACCAGGGCUACACACGUGCUACAAUGGCGCAUACAAAGAGAAGCGACCUCGCGAGAGCAAGCGGACCUCAUAAAGUGCGUCGUAGUCCGGAUUGGAGUCUGCAACUCGACUCCAUGAAGUCGGAAUCGCUAGUAAUCGUGGAUCAGAAUGCCACGGUGAAUACGUUCCCGGGCCUUGUACACACCGCCCGUCACACCAUGGGAGUGGGUUGCAAAAGAAGUAGGUAGCUUAACCUUCGGGAGGGCGCUUACCACUUUGUGAUUCAUGACUGGGGUGAAGUCGUAACAAGGUAACCGUAGGGGAACCUGC